Molecule: transfer RNA, 76 nt
Filed under: Vibrio sp. D431a
Lineage: Bacteria; Pseudomonadati; Pseudomonadota; Gammaproteobacteria; Vibrionales; Vibrionaceae
Description: tRNA-Ala
Rfam family: tRNA
About the family: Transfer RNA (tRNA) molecules are approximately 80 nucleotides in length. Their secondary structure includes four short double-helical elements and three loops (D, anti-codon, and T loops).
Source: RNAcentral
GGGGUUAUAGCUCAGUUGGGAGAGCGCUUCGCUGGCAGCGAAGAGGUCAUCGGUUCGACCCCGAUUAACUCCACCA